AGUCAACGCCAUACCACCCUGACUGUGCCUCAUCUCGUCUGAUUUUGGAAGCUAAUCAGGGUCGGCCCUGGUUAGUACUUGGAUGGGAGAAGUAUGAGCUGGGCUUUAGAUA
Non-coding RNA from Cavia porcellus (domestic guinea pig), 112 nucleotides. Lineage: Eukaryota; Metazoa; Chordata; Mammalia; Rodentia; Caviidae. The record is from Rfam.